UGCCAGCCGCCGCGGUAAUACGGAGGAUCCAAGCGUUAUCCGGAAUCAUUGGGUUUAAAGGGUCCGUAGGCGGUCUGGUAAGUCAGAGGUGAAAUCCUGCAGCUCAACUGUAGCAUUGCCUUUGAUACUGCCAGACUUGAGUUAUUGUGAAGUAGUUAGAAUGUGUAGUGUAGCGGUGAAAUGCAUAGAUAUUACACAGAAUACCGAUUGCGAAAGCAGAUUACUAACAAUAUACUGACGCUGAGGGACGAAAGCGUGGGUAGCGAACAGGAUUAGAUA
Molecule: ribosomal RNA, 279 nt
Filed under: uncultured bacterium
Lineage: Bacteria
Description: partial 16S ribosomal RNA
Rfam family: Bacterial small subunit ribosomal RNA
Source: RNAcentral